CCGACGGUGAGGGGCGAAAGCUGGGGGAGCAAACCGGAUUAGAUACCCGGGUAGUCCCAGCUGUAAACGAUGCGCGUUAGGUGUGUCAGUGACCACGUGUCACUGAUGUGCCGAAGGGAAACCGUGAAACGCGCCGCCUGGGGAGUACGGUCGCAAGGCUGAAACUUAAAGGAAUUGACGGGGGAGCACCACAACGGGUGGAGCCUGCGGUUUAAUCGGACUCAACGCCGGAAAUCUCACCGGAUAA
This 247-nucleotide ribosomal RNA is filed under the name uncultured archaeon. Its description in RNAcentral is "partial 16S ribosomal RNA". It matches the Rfam family "Archaeal small subunit ribosomal RNA", at positions 691 to 937 of the family's 1478-position model. The record is from RNAcentral.